Molecule: non-coding RNA, 213 nt
Organism: Pelobates cultripes (western spadefoot toad)
Lineage: Eukaryota; Metazoa; Chordata; Amphibia; Anura; Pelobatidae
Source: the annotation of a GenBank genome assembly
AAGUGAACAUAACAAAUAAAGCAAAUAUUGUUUUAUUUGACAGCCCGUGAUGUAGUUCACAUUUGCAGGUAACAUACUACUAAAAAUCCCCAACUGUUAUCCUGUGUAAUAUCAGUGAUUUCUUGCACCAUCCCGACCUUUUGAACUGUAAUGUCAUUGCCUCUCUAAACAUGGCGCCUAAAUCCCACCAUGCCUCUUUAUGACGUCAAAAAG